CGACUGCUAAUACCCAAUGUGCCGAAAGGUGAAAGAUUUAUCGACAGAAGAUGGGCUCGCGUCUGAUUAGCUAGAUGGUGGGGUAAGAGCCUACCAUGGCAACGAUCAGUAGCUGGUCUGAGAGGAUGAGCAGCCACACUGGGACUGAGACACGGCCCAGACUCCUACGGGAGGCAGCAGUGGGGAAUUUUCCGCAAUGGGCGAAAGCCUGACGGAGCAAUACCGCGUGAGGGAGGAAGGUCCUUGGAUUGUAAACCUCUUUUAUCAGGGAAGAAGUUCUGACGGUACCUGAUGAAUAAGCAUCGGCUAACUCCGUGCCAGCAGCCGCGGUAAUACGGAGGAUGCAAGCGUUAUCCGGAAUUAUUGGGCGUAAAGCGUCCGUAGGUGGUUAUGCAAGUCUGCCGUUAAAGAAUGGAGCUUAACUCCAUAGGAGCGGUGGAAACUGCAAGACUAGAGUACAGUAGGGGUAGCAGGAAUUCCCAGUGUAGCGGUGAAAUGCGUAGAUAUUGGGAAGAACAUCGGUGGCGAAAGCGUGCUACUGGGCUGAAACUGACACUGAGGGACGAAAGCUAGGGUAGCGAAUGGGAUUAGAUACCCCAGUAGUCA
This 606-nucleotide ribosomal RNA is filed under the name Synechocystis sp. KUMCC_MS12G. RNAcentral describes it as "bacterial SSU rRNA". It matches the Rfam family "Bacterial small subunit ribosomal RNA", at positions 157 to 796 of the family's 1533-position model. The record is from RNAcentral. Lineage: Bacteria; Bacillati; Cyanobacteriota; Cyanophyceae; Synechococcales; Merismopediaceae.